RNAcentral lists this ribosomal RNA (234 nucleotides) under uncultured bacterium. Its description in RNAcentral is "partial 16S ribosomal RNA". It matches the Rfam family "Bacterial small subunit ribosomal RNA", at positions 524 to 752 of the family's 1533-position model. The record is from RNAcentral.
UACGUAGGGGUCCGAGUCGUUGUCCGGAAUUACUGGGCGGUAAAGCGCGCGCAGGCGGCCCGCGAGGUGUCCAGCGCGGAAAGCCCCGGGCGUCAACCCGGGAGGGUCGAUGGCAACCGGCGGCUGAGGCCGGUAGAGGUGGGUGGAACUCCGUGGUGGAGUGUGAAAUGCGUAGAGAGUCAGGAAGAACACCGUGGCGAAGCGGCCCACUGGGCCGGUACUGACGCUGGAGGC